GACGAACGCUGGCGGCGUGCCUAACACAUGCAAGUCGAGCGGGGAUUUACGUGGAAGUUCUUCUGCAUGGAGAUUUAAAUUCUAGCGGCGGACGGGGGAGCAACGCGUGAACAAUCUGUUCCGUACAGGGGGAUAACACUUGUAAACAGGUGCUAAUACCGCUUAAGACCACGGGCUGGCAAGGUGCUGAGGUUGAAGAUGCAAUCGGGGUUGGGGAGAGUUCGCGUGGGAUUGGCGAGUUGGUGGGCUUACGGCACACCCAGGCCAGGGUCGGUAGCCGGCCUGAGAGGGUGAACGGACACAUGGGAACUGAGAGACGCUACACACCCAUGGGGGGGGGAGCAGUGGAAAAUAUUGGGAAAUGGGGGAGAGCGUGACACAGAAGCGGCGUGUGAGAGAAGGAGGUUCUCGGAUUGUAAACCUCUGUCCUAUGAGACGAAGGAAGUGACGGUACCAUAGGAGGAAGCCCCGGCUAACUACGUG
RNAcentral lists this ribosomal RNA (483 nucleotides) under uncultured bacterium. RNAcentral's name for it is "partial 16S ribosomal RNA". It matches the Rfam family "Bacterial small subunit ribosomal RNA", at positions 28 to 507 of the family's 1533-position model. The record is from RNAcentral.